CCUACGGGUGGCUGCAGUGAGGGAUAUUGCACAAUGGGGGAAACCCUGAUGCAGCGACGCCGCGUGGGCGAUGAAGGUCUUCGGAUCGUAAAGCCCUUUUUGAGGUGACGAGAACGGACGGUAGCCUCAGAAUAAGUCUCGGCUAACUACGUGCCAGCAGCCGCGGUAAAACGUAGGAGGCAAGCGUUAUCCGGAGUUACUGGGCGUAAAGCGCAUGUAGGCGGUUGGACAAGUUGGUUGUGAAAGCGCCCGGCUAAACUGGGCGAGGCCGAUCA
Molecule: ribosomal RNA, 275 nt
Filed under: uncultured bacterium
Lineage: Bacteria
Description: partial 16S ribosomal RNA
Rfam family: Bacterial small subunit ribosomal RNA
Source: RNAcentral